RNAcentral lists this ribosomal RNA (429 nucleotides) under Gemmatimonadota bacterium. Its description in RNAcentral is "Gemmatimonadetes bacterium partial 16S ribosomal RNA". It matches the Rfam family "Bacterial small subunit ribosomal RNA", at positions 355 to 776 of the family's 1533-position model. Lineage: Bacteria; Pseudomonadati; Gemmatimonadota. The record is from RNAcentral.
UAGGGAAUCUUCGGCAAUGGACGAAAGUCUGACCGAGCAACGCCGCGUGAGUGAAGAAGGUUUUCGGAUCGUAAAACUCUGUUGUUAGAGAAGAACAAGGACGUUAGUAACUGAACGUCCCCUGACGGUAUCUAACCAGAAAGCCACGGCUAACUACGUGCCAGCAGCCGCGGUAAUACGUAGGUGGCAAGCGUUGUCCGGAUUUAUUGGGCGUAAAGCGAGCGCAGGCGGUUUCUUAAGUCUGAUGUGAAAGCCCCCGGCUCAACCGGGGAGGGUCAUUGGAAACUGGGAGACUUGAGUGCAGAAGAGGAGGGUGGAAUUCCAUGUGUAGCGGUGAAAUGCGUAGAUAUAUGGAGGAACACCAGUGGCGAAGGCGGCUCUCUGGUCUGUAACUGACGCUGAGGCUCGACAGCGUGGGGAGCAAACAGG